AUUUUAUUUUUUAUUUGUGGUUUGUCUACUUAUAUAUAUAGAGAGCAAGGCUACUGUGCUAUUAGGAGCACAACAGCCCUUGUGUUCCUAACUUAAUUUCUAACCACCUAUCAAAUUUGAUGGGUGGCUAGAAUAAAAGAGAAAAGAAGCACAGCAACCUUUUUGUUCCUAACUUUCUAACCAUCCAUUAAGUUUGAUGAAACUUUGAAAUAUAAAGAAAUUUAUUAUUUUUUCCCUAAUAAAUCAGAUAAGUGUCGUACAUAUAU
This 266-nucleotide long non-coding RNA is filed under the name Ananas comosus (pineapple). RNAcentral's name for it is "long non-coding RNA (ACOM_LNC020702)". The record is from RNAcentral. Lineage: Eukaryota; Viridiplantae; Streptophyta; Magnoliopsida; Poales; Bromeliaceae.